GACGAACGCUAGCUACAGGCUUAACACAUGCAAGUCGAGGGGUAACGAGAGGAAAGCUUGCUUUCCUUGUCGACGACCGGCGCACGGGUGAGUAACGCGUAUCCAACCUGCCCCCAACUAGGGAAUAACCUUGCGAAAGUAAGACUAAUACCCUAUAAUUUCCUCAGAUGUCAUCUGACGAGGAAUAAAGAUUUAUCGGUUGUGGAUGGGGAUGCGUCUGAUUAGCUUGUUGGCGGGGUAACGGCCCACCAAGGCAACGAUCAGUAGGGGUUCUGAGAGGAAGGGCCCCCACAUUGGAACUGAGACACGGUCCAAACUCCUACGGGAGGCAGCAGUGAGGAAUAUUGGUCAAUGGGCGGAAGCCUGAACCAGCCAAGUAGCGUGCAGGAUGACGGCCCUAUGGGUUGUAAACUGCUUUUAUACAGGAAUAAAGUUAGCCACGUGUGGUUAUUUGUAGGUACUGUAUGAAUAAGGACCGGCUAAUUCCGUGCCAGCCGCCGCGGUAA
Molecule: ribosomal RNA, 506 nt
Filed under: uncultured bacterium
Lineage: Bacteria
Description: partial 16S ribosomal RNA
Rfam family: Bacterial small subunit ribosomal RNA
Source: RNAcentral